RNAcentral lists this long non-coding RNA (202 nucleotides) under Lotus japonicus. Its description in RNAcentral is "long non-coding RNA (LJAP_LNC000737)". The record is from RNAcentral. Lineage: Eukaryota; Viridiplantae; Streptophyta; Magnoliopsida; Fabales; Fabaceae.
AGAAACGACUUCUAGUCCUCAAUUAAUCCCUUAAUUACUUCUAAGUCCUCGAACUUCCAAAGUUUCAAAUCCAGACCUUCUAAAAUCAAGUAUUUAUAGUAAAGCUCAUAAACUUCUUAGAAUUCAAGAUUCAAUCCUAAGUCAUAUCUUCCAACAUCAAGAUUGCCAUCACAACUUAAUCCAUUCUAAUUAAUACCUUUCG